RNAcentral lists this ribosomal RNA (552 nucleotides) under uncultured bacterium. RNAcentral describes it as "bacterial SSU rRNA". It matches the Rfam family "Bacterial small subunit ribosomal RNA", at positions 353 to 896 of the family's 1533-position model. The record is from RNAcentral.
AGUCGAGAAUCAUUCGCAAUGGGCGAAAGCCCGACGAUGCGACGCCGUGUGAACGAUGAAGGCCCUCGGGUUGUAAAGUUCUUUCGCAAGGGAACAAGAAAUGCGGACUAAUACUCCGCAAAUUUGAGCGUACCUUGUAAAGAAGCACCGGCUAACUUCGUGCCAGCAGCUGCGGUAAUACGAAGGGUGCAAGCAUUAAUCGGAUUUAUUGGGUGUAAAGGGCGCGUAGGCUGGUGAGUAAGUUAUGUGUGAAAUUCCAAAGCUCAACUUUGGAGCUGCACGUAAAACUGCUCAUCUUGAGGAUAGGCGGAGAAAACGGAAUUCCACGUGUAGCGGUGAAAUGCGUAGAUAUGUGGAGGAACACCUGUGGCGAAAGCGGUUUUCUAGCUUAUUCCUGACGCUGAGGCGCGAGAGCAAGGGGAUCAAACAGGAUUAGAUACCCUGGUAGUCCUUGCCGUAAACGAUGCAUACUUGGCGUAGCUGGUCUUAACCCCAGCUGUGCCGGAGCUAACGCGUUAAGUAUGCCACCUGAAUAGUACGCUCGCAAGAGUG